GGGUGCGUAACCCGUAUGCAACCUACCUUUAACAGGGGGAUAGCCCGAAGAAAUUCGGAUUAAUACCUCAUAAAAUAAAUAAGUGGCAUACACUUUGUUUAUUAAAGCUCCGGCGGUUAAAGAUGGGCAUGCGUGACAUUAGCUAGUUGGUAAGGUAACGGCUUACCAAGGCUACGAUGUCUAGGGGUUCUGAGAGGAUGAUCCCCCACACUGGUACUGAGACACGGACCAGACUCCUACGGGAGGCAGCAGUAAGGAAUAUUGGUCAAUGGGCGCAAGCCUGAACCAGCCAUGCCGCGUGCAGGAAGACGGCCUUAUGGGUUGUAAACUGCUUUUAUAUAGGAAUAACCUCCCGAACGUGUUCGGGACUGAAGGUACUAUACGAAUAAGGACCGGCUAACUCCGUGCCAGCAGCCGCGGUAAUACGGAGGGUCCAAGCGUUAUCCGGAUUUAUUGGGUUUAAAGGGUGCGCAGGCGGACCUAUCAGUCAGUGGUGAAAUCCCGGGGCUCAACUCCGGAACUGCCAUUGAUACUGUAGGUCUUGAGUUUGGUUGAAGUGGGCGGAAUGUAGCAUGUAGCGGUGAAAUGCAUAGAUAUGCUACAGAACACCGAUCGCGAAGGCAGCUCACUAAGCCAAUACUGACGCUCAGGCACGAAAGCGUGGGUAGCGAACAGGAUUAAAUACCCUGGUAGUCACGCCGUAAACGAUGAUCGGA
RNAcentral lists this ribosomal RNA (716 nucleotides) under uncultured bacterium. Its description in RNAcentral is "bacterial SSU rRNA". It matches the Rfam family "Bacterial small subunit ribosomal RNA", at positions 104 to 817 of the family's 1533-position model. The record is from RNAcentral.